Oncorhynchus gorbuscha (pink salmon) is the source of this 948-nucleotide long non-coding RNA. RefSeq lists it as uncharacterized. Lineage: Eukaryota; Metazoa; Chordata; Actinopteri; Salmoniformes; Salmonidae. The transcript has 4 exons. The record is from RefSeq and is a predicted model, not a curated record.
GCACCAUGGCGACCAGGCUCCUGGCCACAUGUCUGUACACCACGGGGACCUUGUUGAUAACUGUCUCCAGUCCAGAGCAGUCAGCGUUGCUGUUUCCUGCCAUCUCGUGCCUGAUCACAUCUGGAAUGUUGUUCUACACCACCAAUGCUCAGGUGGGGAACCUGUUCGACAGCCACCGUUCCACGGUCAUAUCGGUCUACGCCGGAGCCUUCGACUCCUCCGCCGCUGUCUUCCUCAUCAUCAAGGUAACACAGCAUCUUCCUGAUGACGAUUCCUCAAUGUGGGACAUGUUUAAUGAGGGUUUAUACUGUUUGAAACCUCCUGACUUCCUGAAUAUUCCUUGAUGUGGGACAUGUUUAAUGAGGGUUUGAACUGUUUAAAACCUCCUGACUUCCUGAAUAUUCAUUGAUGUGGGACAGGGUUAAUGAGGGUUUGAACUGUUUAAAACCUUCUGACUUCCUGAAUAUUCCUCAAUUUGGAACAGAUUUCCGGUGUUUGAACUGUUUAAAGCCUUCUGACUUCCUGAAUAUUCUUCAAUUUGGGACAGAUUUCCGGUGUUUGAACUGUUGCACAGUCAGCACCUGUUGUUUUCAGAAGAGACUACAACAACUGAAAUGUAGCAUCUCUAGAUGAAACAUGAAUCCAAACGGUCAUUAAUGAUUUGCUUCUCCUUAAUCUGACCUUUGACUGACUGCUUUAUUCCAUUGUGACAGAUGCAAACUUAGCUCAGGCAAAAACAUUAAUGAUUUAAGUAAUCACUGAUAAUCAAAAACAUUAAUGAUUUAAGUAAUCACUGAUAAUCAAAAACAUUAAUGAUUUAAGUAAUCACUGAUAAUCAAAAGUGGUGAAGUAAGGAUUCAUACAUGCUGUAUAUAACCUCUCCCUCUUCCUCCCUCUUCCUCUUCCUCUCUCUCCCUCUUCCUCUCUCUCCCUCUUCCUCUCUCUCCC